RNAcentral lists this ribosomal RNA (2396 nucleotides) under Triticum aestivum (bread wheat). Its description in RNAcentral is "partial small subunit ribosomal RNA". The record is from RNAcentral. Lineage: Eukaryota; Viridiplantae; Streptophyta; Magnoliopsida; Poales; Poaceae.
AACGUUAUUAUUUCAAAAUUCGGUUCGAGGACUAGAAUGCUCUAUGUGAGGGCCGAUGUGCGUCAGUCCUUCGUAACGGAGGUGAGACCAGAGCUCAGAGUUGGUACCGGCGCAGGACGUAAGUGGAACAGAAAGAGGAAACAGACCAGGGUCGUCGGUGGCAGCGGAGUGGAGCAGCAUUAAAUGCGUUCAGGGGCCAGCUGUAGCGGCGCCAGCGCGGCAGAGGCCGUCCGCGCAGCGCCGGUUGGUGGAAGAAGCUCCACCGGGCGGGCGAGGCGGGCGGUGGCCCGUCGAGGCCGGGCACGAGGUGCGAGGACGAUAGGCCGAGGAAGCGCAUGUGGAAGUGGUUCGGCGGGCGGUGGCGGCGCAUGAGGGGCGGCGGGACGGACCCGGCGCCGCCGCGGAGCCGCCAGAGGGAGCGGCAGGAGCUCACCGCGCGGUGGACGGCCCCGCAGGUCAAGCUGUCCUAGAAGCCGCAGACCGAGCCGCCGCGGCUCGAGGAGGCGCCGUCGUGGCGGCUCGGCGACGUCUUGCCGCAGCAGACCAGGCAGAGGUUCCUGCAGUGGUCCGUGCGCAGGGAGGAGCGGCGGCCGUUGAGGUGGGAGCGGCAGAAGCAGCUCUUGGAGCAGUUGUCGGUCAUGUGGCCGCACAUGAUGCGGUUGCAGUGCGAGGUGGAGAUGAAGGCGGCGUGCGGCUGCUCCGGCGGCGGGCGACACCGAGGGCGGCUGGAGUAGCAGGGCUACAGGUCUCCGAACGGAGAGUUGCUGCCCGAGACCAUGUUCUAGGUCUUGCGGUGGCUGCAGCGCAGGUUCUCGCAGCGCGACGGUAGGUUGUGGAUGGCGCGCCAGGAGCUUGAGAUGCAGAGCAAGGUGCCCCUGCUGCUCAAGACCACCUGUUUGGUCGGGCCGCGACUGCGGUUGCCGGGCAAGGCGCUCCAGUGGCAGGCACAACUGCCCCAGGAGCGGCCGCGGCGCACCGGCAAGGGGCAGUAGAAGUGGCCGCCGUAGUUGGGGGAGGAUACCGUCGGGUAGUGGCCGUAGCCGAGGAAGUUGGAGGGCUGCAUGCUGCAGCUCCACUGCGGCAACGACCCGUUCUACGACCUGCCGUUCCGCGUGCGCAAGCGCAAGCGCCACUGGUUGCGGCACCUGCACACCAUGCAGCUGCGGUUGGAGGUGGAGACCGACCUGGGACCCUCGUGCCGCUGCCGCCGCCGGGAGCACUCGAUGCACCGCGGCCUCGAUCGCCGCCGCUGCUGCAGGAAGGCGUGCUGCCGCUCGGCCGUCCACAGCCGCUGGCCUACCCACUUCAGCAGCAUGCCCUUGUAGUGCUGCUUGCGGUGCGUCUGCAAGGUAAAGCUGUUGUGGUUGUGGUUGUGGUUGCUACCGCUCUGCCACUUGGUCUGCUGGCAGCGCGUGCGUCCGCAGCGGCGGUGCCUGGAGCGGCCGCAGGACAUGAUGAGCCACGUCUGCGCGGCCUCCAAGGGCGAAAACAACCUGAGUCCUCGCCUGGUCCACUGGCAGUGCGUGCCCAACCUCCUUUGCUGCCAUCGGCGGCCGGCCACCAGCAGCCCCGGGUCCAUGGUCAGCGACGCGUUGUGCGCCGCCUCGUCGCAGCGGCCCCGCAGCGCCCCGCAGGCCGUCUGCAUGUCCAUGCUCCGGUGGCUGCCCACGAUGGACUCCUUGCACUGGUCGUCGCCAAUGUUGUAGCACAGCCUGGUCAGGUCACUCCGCACGCACUUCCCCAGUAACGCAACUAGAUGUCCUAGUUCGUCAUUUAUUUCACAUGCCACUAUAUGCUAUUGCUCAUUGUCCACCAAGCAAGUCACUAAGAGGCACUGUCUACAAAAGCGAAAAAAGAAGAAGAAUCAACACCGAAUAGUUCGUAAGUCAGUCGAAGUAGUUCUUGUUCUAUACGAUAAACUGAGUCUGAGUGAAAGGGGUAAAGGUCUUAUAGUAAGCCGGAAGGUCCUCAACGUUGUUGGUACAGUCGUGGUACGAGAUUUAGAGAAUAGACUCCCGGAAAACCUCGUGGUAGUAUAUCUGUGACGUUUUCUUUUUAAUACUAAUUAUGCUAUAUAGAGAGACACACACACACAGACACACAUCAAAUGUUUUUGCCUUUAUGGUAAAGAAUCCAUGCUCAUUGUAAUCGUAGAUGAGGGAAGCAAAGCUUAAUGAACAGCGUCUAUACCUACAUAGAUCUACAUAAAAUCAAGAUCUAUGUAGGUAAAGACGCUGCUUAUUAAACUUUGCCUCCCUCAUCGUUACACCUAUUUGUUCACAUAAUUCACCAGAUUCUCAUCUCGUCACAUCACGUCUACAUUUUUUAUCUUCCUUGUAUGUCAUCUACUGUAAGAGCUCUCAAUAAAUAUUCCUACCGUUACCCAGCCCAAACCU